RNAcentral lists this non-coding RNA (45 nucleotides) under Schistosoma margrebowiei. Lineage: Eukaryota; Metazoa; Platyhelminthes; Trematoda; Strigeidida; Schistosomatidae. The record is from RNAcentral.
AUUCAGAUGAUGAGUCUCAAAUAGGAUGAAACGUGUGUACUGAAU